CCUGACGCAGCGACGCCGCGUGAGGGAUGACGGCCUUCGGGUUGUAAACCUCUUUCGCCAGGGACGAAGCGCAAGUGACGGUACCUGGAGAAGAAGGACCGGCCAACUACGUGCCAGCAGCCGCGGUAAUACGUAGGGUCCGAGCGUUGUCCGGAAUUACUGGGCGUAAAGAGCUCGUAGGUGGUUUGUCGCGUUGUUCGUGAAAACUCACAACUCAAUUGUGGGCGUGCGGGCGAUACGGGCAGACUGGAGUACUGCAGGGGAGACUGGAAUUCCUGGUGUAGCGGUGGAAUGCGCAGAUAUCAGGAGGAACACCGGUGGCGAAGGCGGGUCUCUGGGCAGUAACUGACGCUGAGGAGCGAAAGCGUGGGGAGCGAACAGGAUUAGAUACCCUGGUAGUCCACGCCGUAAACGGUGGGUACUAGGUGUGGGUUUCCUUCCUUGGGAUCCGUGCCGUAGCUAACGCAUUAAGUACCCCGCCUGGGGAGUACGGCCGCAAGGCUAAAACUCAAAGGAAUUGACGG
RNAcentral lists this ribosomal RNA (524 nucleotides) under uncultured bacterium. RNAcentral describes it as "bacterial SSU rRNA". It matches the Rfam family "Bacterial small subunit ribosomal RNA", at positions 382 to 916 of the family's 1533-position model. The record is from RNAcentral.